GAUGAACGCUGGCGGCGUGCCUAAUACAUGCAAGUCGAGCGAACAGACGAGGAGCUUGCUCCUCUGACGUUAGCGGCGGACGGGUGAGUAACACGUGGAUAACCUACCUAUAAGACUGGGAUAACUUCGGGAAACCGGAGCUAAUACCGGAUAACAUGUUGAACCGCAUGGUUCAACAGUGAAAGACGGUCUUGCUGUCACUUAUAGAUGGAUCCGCGCCGCAUUAGCUAGUUGGUUAGGUAACGGCUUACCAAGGCAACGAUGCGUAGCCGACCUGAGAGGGUGAUCGGCCACACUGGAACUGAGACACGGUCCAGACUCCUACGGGAGGCAGCAGUAGGGAAUCUUCCGCAAUGGGCGAAAUCCUGACGGAGCAACGCCGCGUGAGUGAAGAAGGUCUUCGGAUCGUAAAACUCUGUUAUUAGGGAAGAACAAAUGUGUAAGUAACUAUGCACGUCUUGACGGUACCUAAUCAGAAAGCCACGGCUAACUACGUG
This 497-nucleotide ribosomal RNA is filed under the name uncultured bacterium. Its description in RNAcentral is "partial 16S ribosomal RNA". It matches the Rfam family "Bacterial small subunit ribosomal RNA", at positions 28 to 507 of the family's 1533-position model. The record is from RNAcentral.